RNAcentral lists this ribosomal RNA (484 nucleotides) under uncultured bacterium. Its description in RNAcentral is "partial 16S ribosomal RNA". It matches the Rfam family "Bacterial small subunit ribosomal RNA", at positions 30 to 507 of the family's 1533-position model. The record is from RNAcentral.
AUUGAACGCUGGCGGCAGGCCUAACACAUGCAAGUCGAGCGGAUGAAGGGAGCUUGCUCCUGGAUUCAGCGGCGGACGGGUGAGUAAUGCCUAGGAAUCUGCCUGGUAGUGGGGGAUAACGUCCGGAAACGGGCGCUAAUACCGCAUACGUCCUGAGGGAGAAAGUGGGGGAUCUUCGGACCUCACGCUAUUAGAUGAGCCUAGGUCGGAUUAGCUAGUUGGUGGGGUAAAGGCCUACCAAGGCGACGAUCCGUAACUGGUCUGAGAGGAUGAUCAGUCACACUGGAACUGAGACACGGUCCAGACUCCUACGGGAGGCAGCAGUGGGGAAUAUUGGGCAAUGGGCGAAAGCCUGAUCCAGCCAUGCCGCGUGUGUGAAGAAGGUCUUCGGAUUGUAAAGCACUUUUAGUUGGGAGGAAGGGCAGUAAGUUAAUACCUUGCUGUUUUGACGUUACCAACAGAAUAAGCACCGGCUAACUUCGUG